GCCUUAGCUUUGGAUGGACAUAUACUAAAAUUGAAAUGGUACAGAGAUGAUUAGCAUGGCUCCUGCGAAAGAAUGACACGCAAAGCGUUAAUAAAAUGUUAUAAAAGCUU
Small nuclear RNA from Uranotaenia lowii, 110 nucleotides. The record is from RefSeq and is a predicted model, not a curated record. NCBI's taxonomy places the organism in Eukaryota, Metazoa, Arthropoda, Insecta, Diptera, Culicidae.